Molecule: ribosomal RNA, 463 nt
Filed under: uncultured Alphaproteobacteria bacterium
Lineage: Bacteria; Pseudomonadati; Pseudomonadota; Alphaproteobacteria
Description: bacterial SSU rRNA
Rfam family: Bacterial small subunit ribosomal RNA
Source: RNAcentral
GAGGGGCCCGCGUCGGAUUAGCUAGUUGGUGGGGUAACGGCCUACCAAGGCGAUGAUCCGUAGCUGGUCUGAGAGGAUGAUCAGCCACACUGGGACUGAGACACGGCCCAGACUCCUACGGGAGGCAGCAGUAGGGAAUAUUGGACAAUGGGCGCAAGCCUGAUCCAGCCAUGCCGCGUGGGUGAUGAAGGCCCUAGGGUUGUAAAGCCCUUUCGGCGGGGAAGAUAAUGACGGUACCCGCAGAAGAAGCCCCGGCUAACUUCGUGCCAGCAGCCGCGGUAAUACGAAGGGGGCUAGCGUUGCUCGGAAUCACUGGGCGUAAAGCGCACGUAGGCGGCUUUUUAAGUCAGGGGUGAAAUCCUGGAGCUCAACUCCAGAACUGCCUUUGAUAUUGAGAAGCUUGAGUCCGGGAGAGGUGAGUGGAACUGCGAGUGUAGAGGUGAAAUUCGUAGAUAUUCGCAAG